Molecule: small RNA, 522 nt
Filed under: Pongo abelii (Sumatran orangutan)
Lineage: Eukaryota; Metazoa; Chordata; Mammalia; Primates; Hominidae
Description: retained intron
Source: RNAcentral
UCUGGCAGCAGCCCUCCUGACUGUGUGCGAGGAGAUCCCAAACCCGCUGAAGGACGGGGAUUGCGUCAACAGGUGGACCAGGGAGGAUUUGGAGCUAAUUAACAAGUGGGCCUUCCAAGGGGAGAGAGUGAUUCACGGGAACCCCUCCGGAGUGGACAAUGCUGUCAGCACCUGGGGAGGAGCCCUCCGAUACCAUCAAGGGAAGAUUUCAUCCUUAAAGAGGUAACCUAGGGGUGGAGCAGCACAUUCAGCCAUGGCUGCAUCAAUGUGUGCAGGGGGCAGAGCUCUGCACCUUUGGGAAGUACUAUAGGAGGCAGGUGUCCCUGGCUCUUCAUCCGUCAAUGUGGCCCUCACAGUCCACUAGCUGCAAGGAAGCAGGGGUGGUGGGGAACACCUGGUCUUUCCUUCUCCCCUUCAGCUCUUAAAUUGCAGAGAGUUCAGAAAGGGAAAGUCAUGCAUGGCUGUGCCCAUAGACCCUCAGCUGCUCAUUCAUUCAUUCCUGUAUUUGCAUAGUAAACAAGA